RNAcentral lists this transfer RNA (73 nucleotides) under Oesophagostomum dentatum (nodular worm). Its description in RNAcentral is "tRNA-Cys". It matches the Rfam family "tRNA". From Rfam's summary of the family: Transfer RNA (tRNA) molecules are approximately 80 nucleotides in length. Their secondary structure includes four short double-helical elements and three loops (D, anti-codon, and T loops). The record is from RNAcentral. Lineage: Eukaryota; Metazoa; Nematoda; Chromadorea; Rhabditida; Strongylidae.
GUCGAAUGGCUCAGUAGGUAGAGUGUUGGAAUGCAAUUCCAACACUUGCUGGUUCGAAUCGCAGCUAAUGUCA